AGUGAACGCUGGCGGCAGGCCUAACACAUGCAAGUCGAGCGGCAGCGGGUUCCCGCGAGGGGAUGCCGGCGAGCGGCGGACGGGUGAGGGACACAUCGGAAUCUGCCUGGUUGUGGGGGAUAACGUAGGGAAACGUUACGCUAAUACCGCAUGAGACCCUGAGUCGACGGACUGGGGUGGAAAGUGAGGGACCUUCGGCCGUCACGCGACCAGAUGAGCCGAUGUCGGAUUAGCUAGUUGGC
RNAcentral lists this ribosomal RNA (242 nucleotides) under uncultured bacterium. Its description in RNAcentral is "partial 16S ribosomal RNA". It matches the Rfam family "Bacterial small subunit ribosomal RNA", at positions 28 to 253 of the family's 1533-position model. The record is from RNAcentral.